AAGUACCUAGAAAUACCCUAAAAAUUCAAAAUCGGUAUUAGAAACCCUUUUCGGCCAAUUUUGAGAUUCUGGCACGGCAGUGCUGCCAUGCUUCGGUGACGGCACUUUGCCUCAGGUUGGCCAUUUUUGGCCAGUUUCGGCUGAUUUCGGCUAGUUUUGUGCUCAUUUAUGCAAGAAAAUACGUUAAGGGACUUUGGUUAGCCGAAAAAAGUCAAAAAAUAGAAACUUACCGACAGUGAAAUUUUUCGGUGCGGUAGCUCCGCCAGCUCGCCUUAGCGGUUAGGCGUUUUUCUUUGAUCAACUUGUGGGAAACAAGAUGGUGAAUAUAAUGAUGGAAAAAUUACACAAAACGGGAAUCGAGAAUGGCCUCAUCAGAGGCAGUUUUUGAUAUUUUCUGCGACGGCACCGCCAAACUUUACCUGCAGUUUCUGUCUCAUCUGAUAGUCUAUUUGCUCCGAUUUAGCCAUGGGAGUGUUCGAAAUCAAAUUUCGAGCAAAUGAAAAAAUCUUUACCUCUUUUGACUGUUAGAGGUAGCUCCGGCACGGCGGCGGGUGGCGGUCGGCUCCGUUCCCGGUGACUGGUUCUUCUUCUUUGGUGGGGGGUCUGGUGGCUUGGGUUAGAGUUUGGUGUGGGGUGAGGUAUUUAUAUCUGUCUCUUUUAGUUUAGAUCAUCCAUCGAUUUGAUCUGGACCGUCCGAUUGCGUUUAAAUAGGAAGUGAAUCUAAACCAUUCAUCGUGAUUUCAUCUGGACCUUACGAUCGCGUUUAAAGAAGGAACAAAUCUAGACCGUCCACACGCGCAG
Molecule: long non-coding RNA, 801 nt
Filed under: Carica papaya (papaya)
Lineage: Eukaryota; Viridiplantae; Streptophyta; Magnoliopsida; Brassicales; Caricaceae
Description: long non-coding RNA (CPAP_LNC000666)
Source: RNAcentral